CUCUGUGUGUGUUUUACUGUGCAGAGACUGAUCCAGCUGAGGUCUACUCUGCAGUGAGAACAGAAGACGUCAGUUAUGGACCAAUCAUCAUCAGAGACAAGAGAAAAGAAAAAUCAAAGUCGAGAGAGAAUGAUCCAGCUGCUGUCUACUCAGGAGUGAGAACAGACGACAUCAGUUAUGGACAAACAGACCAAACAGGUCCACAGUUUCCACUAGAGCCAAAUGUCAUCUACUCCUCACUGAAGUAAUCCACCAGUCUAACCAGUGGAGUCCAGCUGCUGGUCUCUGACUGCUCCAUCCUUCCCUCUGAGGAGUUUCAUUGUAAACAG
Molecule: long non-coding RNA, 329 nt
Organism: Archocentrus centrarchus (flier cichlid)
Lineage: Eukaryota; Metazoa; Chordata; Actinopteri; Cichliformes; Cichlidae
Exons: 3
Source: RefSeq, a predicted model, not a curated record